ACUACGGGAGGCAGCAGUGGGGAAUAUUGCGCAAUGGGCGAAAGCCUGACGCAGCGACGCCGCGUGAGGGAUGAAGGUCUUAGGAUCGUAAAACUCUGUCAGCAGGGAAGAACGGUCACUGUGCUAAACAGCAGUGAAUGGACGGUACCAGCAAAGGAAGCACAGGCUAACGCCGUGCCAGCAGCCGCGGUAAUACGGAGGGUGCGAGCGUUCAUCGGAAUUAAUGGGCGUAAAGCGCUCGGAUGCGGUAUGUCACGUCAAGGGUGAAAGCCCCGCCCUCAACGUGGGAACUGCCUUUGAAACUGGCAAACUGGCGUGUGUGAGAGGUUAGUGGAAUUCCAGGUGU
This 346-nucleotide ribosomal RNA is filed under the name uncultured bacterium. RNAcentral describes it as "partial 16S ribosomal RNA". It matches the Rfam family "Bacterial small subunit ribosomal RNA", at positions 338 to 676 of the family's 1533-position model. The record is from RNAcentral.